AGAUGCGGGUCAUGGCGCCCCGAACCCUCAUCCUGCUGCUCUCGGGAGCCCUGGCCCUGACCGAGACCUGGGCCGGCUCCCACUCCAUGAGGUAUUUCUACACCGCUGUGUCCCGGCCCGGCCGCGGGGAGCCCCACUUCAUCGCAGUGGGCUACGUGGACGACACGCAGUUCGUGCGGUUCGACAGCGACGCCGCGAGUCCGAGAGGGGAGCCGCGGGCGCCGUGGGUGGAGCAGGAGGGGCCGGAGUAUUGGGACCGGGAGACACAGAAGUACAAGCGCCAGGCACAGACUGACCGAGUGAGCCUGCGGAACCUGCGCGGCUACUACAACCAGAGCGAGGCCGGGUCUCACAUCAUCCAGAGGAUGUAUGGCUGCGACGUGGGGCCCGACGGGCGCCUCCUCCGCGGGUAUGACCAGUACGCCUACGACGGCAAGGAUUACAUCGCCCUGAACGAGGAUCUGCGCUCCUGGACCGCCGCGGACACGGCGGCUCAGAUCACCCAGCGCAAGUGGGAGGCGGCCCGUGAGGCGGAGCAGCUGAGAGCCUACCUGGAGGGCCUGUGCGUGGAGUGGCUCCGCAGAUACCUGAAGAAUGGGAAGGAGACGCUGCAGCGCGCGGGUCAGGACCAGAAGUCGCUGUUCCUCCCUCAGAGACUAGAACUUUCCAAUGAAUAGGAGAUUAUCCCAGAACACCCAAAGACACACGUGACCCACCAUCCCGUCUCUGACCAUGAGGCCACCCUGAGGUGCUGGGCCCUGGGCUUCUACCCUGCGGAGAUCACACUGACCUGGCAGUGGGAUGGGGAGGACCAAACUCAGGACACUGAGCUUGUGGAGACCAGGCCAGCAGGAGAUGGAACCUUCCAGAAGUGGGCAGCUGUGGUGGUGCCUUCUGGAGAAGAGCAGAGAUACACGUGCCAUGUGCAGCACGAGGGGCUGCCGGAGCCCCUCACCCUGAGAUGGG
This 966-nucleotide unclassified non-coding RNA is filed under the name Homo sapiens (human). RNAcentral describes it as "major histocompatibility complex, class I, C (ENSG00000225691.7)". Lineage: Eukaryota; Metazoa; Chordata; Mammalia; Primates; Hominidae. The record is from RNAcentral.